GUGAGCUUUUACAUAUCAGUUAAGUGCUUUCCUGAGCUUUGCUAUCUUCUCCUUUUUUAUCGGUUUCUUUCAGAUAGCAGGCAGAAAACCUGGCUUUAAAAGAGGAGCUCAGACAGGAAGCAGCAAUGUUCCAGAAGGAUUUCUAAGGCAACAGGAGAGCAACUGGCUUCUUGCAGUGUGAAUUUCAGAGAUCCCUAAAACCCUUGGCUGCACAGUUGGAACAGGACUGAGGAGCCAGCACCCCAGAGGACCUGCACUUCCCCAGCACUUGCACCCUGUGUCAGGGCUGAGCUACACAAGACUCUUCUGGGUGGAAAGAGAAAUCCCCAUGCUUUGGUAGGCACUGAAACAGCUAAUUUGUGUCAACACCAAGUCCAGGCUGCUUUUGAAACUGUCUCUUGUCUAUGCAUGGGUUUUUAAUCCCAGCUGAGAUACCAAUGUGUUCACUGCUGUGUGCUCAGAAAAAAAAGAUGACAACACGAGCAUCAUCAGGUUGAAGGGAUAAGUUCAAGUCCUGCCCCAAAGAGGAGAGUACGUGAUGCUGGGCAGUCCUUCACCCAGCCCCGAUCUUGCAGCCUCAGGGCAUGUACAGGAGGCACCUGGGAAAACGCUGUUCGCAGGGAAGUAACCUUCCUUACACAUCUUUCCUUGCUCUGCUUUCCUGCCCUUAGCAAAGCCACAUGGCAGUGCAGGCUGCGCGUGUGGAUGUGAGAUUAUUGGAUGCUGGAUCUCACUGUACAUUGUGCUUCUGCAGGACAGUGGGCUUUGUUUGGAAAAUAUGUCUGAAUUAGCUCCAAGGCCAGUUAUAACCAAAAAAAUCCCUUUUUUCCUAGGCUGACAGGAUGUCUGUGGGCAUCCCGAGCUAACAGAGGAAGCAACCAGGCUCAUGGAGACAGGGACAGAGCUGCUGUGGCAAUGGCACGGAGGUGGUGAUGGUGCGGCAGCCGCAGAGCCGGAGCACAGUGCUUUUACCUGGCAAACGCUGCUGCGGGAAAAGCAGUGGGAGAGGGGCUGUCCCAGGACAUCUGCACAGGCCGGGACACCGAAGGAACGCAGUCAGGAGACGCAGGGUCAGGCCACCACGAGGUGGCAGCCGGAGCCCAGUGAUGAGACAACCCUGGGUCCUGGCUCAGCAUGUUCUGGCCCCGCGGUCCUGAACUCCAGUGGGCAGCCCAUGGCGGGGUGCAGGGGGUGCCACAGUGAUCCCAAAAGAUUUAAGAAAAAAAAAAAAAAGACACAAUUAUCAAGUAACCAGUUUGGUACUGASAGAGGUAGAAAGCCCCUAAAAAUUUUUAAGUGUUGAAGGAGUUUGUCAUUCUCUGAGAGGGCAAGUGUACAGCACCCCUUCCUUUGGGAACAAAUAAUGACCUCUUUUCCCAAARCAGCUAAAUUACCUCAUGGAUAUCCCCUUUCCUGGCCCUGCACUGGUUUGUUCAAAAAUUGUUUGAAAAAAAAACUGCUUGACAUAAUUGAGAUAAAAAUCAGAGCAGUUAUUUUCCACUGUUACUGAGAUGGAUGGCGCAGCUCCUGUUCCAGGUGUCCUGCAUGACUGAGCCAUAGGAUCAUAGCGUGGCUUGGGUUGGAAGGGACCUUAAUGAGCAUCUGCUUCCAACCCCCCUGCCAUUAACAGGGACAAACAGGUGCUUCUUUGGGGGUUGGGGUACCCCCCGGGUACAUAUUCUAUCCUAAGACACUGUUUCUUUCGCCCACAGAGGCUUUGCUUUUGUCUGUUCAUGCAGGACAGUGCAGCAGAAGUAACAAGACAUGCUGGAAACUAGCCUGUUACAGUUCAGGAAUGUGUGAUCCAGUGUCCACGGCUCACACACCAGCUCCAUAAAAUGAUCAUAGAGGAAAAAAAAAAAAAAGGAAAAAAAAGGCCACACUGAAAAAAAACCCAUCUUUUUAUACAGGGGAAAACAUGGACUGUUCCAGCAGCAGCAGGUAAAAGAAACCUGAAUCUGGCAGACAAAAUAAACGGGCUGUGCCCGCCAGUGCAUYUCCCACCAUCUCCCAAGGGUUCAGGAAUGGCAGCCACUGCUUUCCCCUGGCCUCUGUGUAUGCUCAGGAUGUAUAGGGCUCCUUGGGCAGAAGAGAGCCAUCCCCAAUCCCCCAGCUCAUUGGCAUAUCCUCACCAUGUGCAGGCUCAUUGGUUUGAGGGAAUAGGAGAACUGUGAGCCUUGUCCCACAGGAAAUGAUGGCACAGUGGGAKGCAGCUUUCCAUCCUCUCUGUUCCAUGACCAUUGCGGACUCACAGCUCUGUGCUCCCUUUGGAUGCUGUUUAGUGUUGCUCUAAGGGCUCAUUCCAAAUGCUAUUUCUGCUCAGCAUGCAAAUCGUUUCAUUUUUUAACCAGCCACUCCCCCCAGCUUUACUGAGCAAAGCUUUCUAAAUUUGUCAAGAGCGAGCAGGGACAACAAAGCGAAAAGGAACCUUGUCUCAUUUCCUCUUAGCCAGUGAGUAAGAGUUGACUC
Malurus melanocephalus (red-backed fairy wren) is the source of this 2469-nucleotide long non-coding RNA. RefSeq lists it as uncharacterized. The transcript is spliced from 3 exons. The record is from RefSeq and is a predicted model, not a curated record. Lineage: Eukaryota; Metazoa; Chordata; Aves; Passeriformes; Maluridae.